RNAcentral lists this non-coding RNA (83 nucleotides) under Aurantiochytrium limacinum. Lineage: Eukaryota; Bigyra; Thraustochytrida; Thraustochytriidae. The record is from RNAcentral.
GCAAUCCAGCAGAAGUCCCCAUCGCUUGCCUGCAAGCCUCUGAAGGCGAUCACAAAGUUCUUCGUCUCGAGCCCUCGCAAUUU